AUUGAACGCUGGCGGCAGGCCUAACACAUGCAAGUCGAGCGGAGCGGCGGACGGGUGAGUAAUGUCUGGGAAACUGCCUGAUGGAGGGGGAUAACUACUGGAAACGGUAGCUAAUACCGCAUACUAUCAGAUGAGCCCAGGUCGGAUUAGCUAGUUGGUGGGGUAAAGGCUUACCAAGGCGACGAUCCGUAGCUGGUCUGAGAGGAUGAUCAGCCACACUGGAACUGAGACACGGUCCAGACUCCUACGGGAGGCAGCAGUGGGGAAUAUUGGACAAUGGGCGCAAGCCUGAUCCAGCCAUGCCGCGUGUGUGAAGAAGGUCUUCGGAUUGUAAAGCACUUUCAGUUGGGAGGCGUUACCAACAGAAUAAGCACCGGCUAACUUCGUGCCAGCAGCCGCGGUAAUUC
Molecule: ribosomal RNA, 407 nt
Filed under: uncultured bacterium
Lineage: Bacteria
Description: partial 16S ribosomal RNA
Rfam family: Bacterial small subunit ribosomal RNA
Source: RNAcentral